CUGGUGGGGAACUGGGAGGCCUCUCUGGCCCUGGUCACCUGGGUUAACCGCCUGACCCUGCCUGGGGGCCCCCAGCCCCUGCCUGACCACCAUAGUCUUGUUUGUCUCGUAGAUGGACCUUGGUCUUAUGCUGUAGGUAGCUCAUCUCCUGGACGAGCCUGUUUUUCUGAGCUGCUAAGUAUGCCCUACUCCAGGCGCAAGUUGCUCCUGUGAAGCUAGACCCUGUGUCUACUGAGUGCAGUGGCAAAGGUCUCAUGUGCUGCUGAGGCAAACCCUGAGCAGACAGGUCUAGUGGUUUCCAAUAUUUUAUUCUGAUUCAUUAACUUUUCUUUGAGAGGGAACGAGUAAUUUGAAAGAGGAAUGGUUUUUGCCUUGCGUGCUGGGACACCAGUUUCUCAUGGUAAAAGGUAUUAUUGUUUGCAAAGCAUGCAUGUCAUUCACGCUGGCCUUCAGACACAGAAAGGCUGGUACAGUGGCACUUUCCUCCCAGCUAGGCCAGAGGGUAGCCUUUUCCUGGAUGUGAUGCAGAAAAGAAAAUAAUUAUAGAAUUGGAGAAUGGCGCUGAGCAGCUCCAUGGUUCCUCCCCGUGCCCCAUCAGAGCCCCAAUGGAUGUUCACGCAUGGGGACAGCUGCUGGGGGUCCUGCAGCAUCAUGAAGCCCCAGGUUCCUUGGGAGUCUGCGCUGUGGAGCUCUUGCAGGCCGAAUGGACGCUGGAAUGCUCCUGAGCCUGAGGUGGUGAGUGAAAGGUCUUGGUGGUUGCGAAGGCGAUCAGAGAUGAUACCUAGAUGAUCCUAGCAAGCAUGGAUUUUGAGUCUCAGCUGUGUUUCACCGUACCUUCAGCACUGUAUGGCUUCUAACGAGGGCUUUCUCCCCCCCUUUCUUUUGUUCUGUAGUUGCCCAGAGCAAGGGACAUCUUUACCCUUCCUUCUUUUACAACAAUGGUGAAAACUGCACAUAGGACGCUCCAGACCUCUUCUUCAGCACUUGUGCCAGCCCAGGCCUGUCCCUUUCUUGUGGCUGGAGACAUCCAGCCCUGGAGACACUCUGAUCUCUUCUCCUUGGGCUGGUGAAAGUCAGUCCAGGCAGUUUUGUUAAGGCUUUAUUUCAGCUUUUUCUUUCCUCAAAGUGCUUUAGAGACACUGGGCAAUGCAUCUUCCCUGAAUUUGCUUUAGUACUGACAAGUUAAAAUUUCCUGCAGGAGGAAACUCAGGCAAGAUGUUCCCAAUUUCAUCCCUGGUAUUUCCAUGAUACAUCUACUAAGGUCCUGGCAUGUCAUGCUAUACUGUAUUUCAGCUUGAACAUGGGUAAAACAUUCUUCUUUACAGGGAAAGUCCAAGUCUCUGUUGUUGAGGGAAGAUAGCAACUUGAUGGAUCAUACUAUGUGGGCACAGGUCAUCUAUAAGUCUUUAUAUUGAGUCUGCGUAUGGCAGUUUUCCAUUAACUCUCUUAUUUCCCAGAAAGUUCACAGAGGACGGCUCAAACCUAUUUUUCUUCUGUCCCAAAGGCUCCUGAUAGCUUAUGGUUCUGGCCUUCAUCUUGUAUUUUUCUCCUGUCGACCCUUCUGCCCCUCCCCAGUUUGGACAGUAGGAGGAAGUUUACUGUGCCUUUAUAGCCCAGUUCUCUUUUGUGAUUCUAUAACAACUGCAAUCCUUGUAGAAGAUGUGGGAAUUUUCUGUCCAAUCUUUUCGACAAAUACAUGUCCCGUAGUUUGCCUACUCAUUCCCUUGUUGCUACCUACUUAGUCAUCAGUUCUGCCCUGGGAAGAAAUGGAAAACUCACAGAGAGAGAAGAAAGAGCCCACUCAUUAGCGCUGACAUUUAGAAACUGGAGGUGGAUAACACAGGUCGUCUCAGCUUUGAGGGGUGCAGCUUAUGAUGUCCCUGCUCCUCACUGCCCCCAGCUUCUUGCUCCUGUUCCUGCCCUGUGCACCAUCACCCCUCCUCAGUUUUACCAUUGUAGGUUUAAAAAAAAACUUUUUCUUGAUGCUUUACUUCUGAAAGAGAUAGUAGAUGAAGAGGUCAUAUCCAUGCUCGGAGGCCAAAUAAAAAGAGUGCCAGGCCAAACAAGCUCAAGUAUACAGAGCCUGUGGUGCACUACAAGAAAGCCAACUGCUUCCUCUGCUCAGCACUCAGUGAGCUCCCUUGAGCUAAUGAGGAUGCCUUGUGCUAAGCCCUGUCCGUGCAUGCGUAUCCCUGAUGAUCCCUGGUUAAACAGCACACAGUAACUACAUAUAACCAGAGACAACCUGUUAUAAAAUGAAAAUGAGAAGUGACUGGAGUCAGCCAGAGCCAUCAGUGAUCUUGGUAGGACGUAUGGUGAGGAUGGUAUCUGUCACUUCAGAUGCAGGUAUGUGGGUGUUAUUCUGUACCCACAUUCACAGGCUGAGGUUAUUAUCGGUAAUCGUAUGGCACCAGUGACUAGGAUGGUUUUUUCUGCCUACGUCUUCUGACUAUUCCUUUCUAAUGAAGACCUGUCUGCGGUGACAUAUGCUGUUAUUACUUGGCAGAUUGCAGAGCUCACCGCUUGGAGGCAAAGAAGUCUAAAAUCUGCUUGCAACUGAAGCUAGUGCCAACUGUGUUGGAUCGCUCAGAUAUAGACACGGUCCCACUCUAACCACAGCUGCGCAAGCAGGGGCAGGUACCACCUCCACAGGUGACACACACCAGUCUGACUUUGCCAUCGGUUCUUGGCUGAAAUUUUCAUCAGGGAGCGUCAUAUAAACAGUAAGACAGUGCAGAGGUAGCUCAGCCUGACUGUUCCUGUAUGUACUUAGCCUGGUACUUGCUGUUUCCAUUUCAGACCUGGAGAGGGGCAUGCAUACCCAGAAAGCUCACCCACUGCAUCAGACUGGCCUAGUAAAAGCUAUUACAGAUUUUGCCUCUUCUUAUAGUAUCUUGCCUGUUUGAGAUGGGCUACCUCUUGUCAGCCAGCCAACCAUCUGGUGCAGUGUGAUAGAUCCUCUAGCAGAAGGUAGGAUGGUUUUGUUUUAUUUGUGUGUAUAUUGCUAGCUGUUAUCCUUAUGUUGAGUGCUUUAGUAUCAUAGUGGCAACACAUUAUCCCAGCUAGGGGAUAAGUAUCAGUGGUCACUCACAGAACUGUUCCUGUGCUUGUAUGGUCCUAUAAGCUGUUUUUAGUGAGUCAUUCCCUGCGAAAAAGGCUGUGAUGUUUACUGAUAUUUAGCUUGUCUUUCAUUGUAGAACUGUUGUUUGCUGUGUGCGUAUCUGGUACCUAUGUCUUGGCAUCCCUUCACUAACUAGAUGAGAACUGUGUUUUCUCCUGUUUGGCAACAGAGAGAGACCCUUAGGGAAGAUCAGAGAACAGUCUUCCCUACAGCUCUAACACUACAAAGAGAAGAGACAACCUGGUAUCACUAACAGCAUCAAACUUCUGGCACUGAUUAUGGUCCUAAGUCAGGAACUAGACUCCUUAGCAUUAUUAGUGGAGAGAGACAGAGACGGUUUCUCAAUUAUUGAGAAGGUGAUUUAUAGGAGGAGCUUUAUUUAGGUAUACUGACACCCUAUGGAGGUUCCUCUGUCUCUCCCUCUCAUACAUAUGCAGAGAACCUUGAAGAGUUAUGGUAGGUCUCAGAAGUUAGGUCAUAUGAAUAUCUACCUCUGUCUCAACUUCCCAUCCAAUUCAGGUCACAAAAGAAUUUUAUUCAGGCUACAUUUGGUUAAAAUGAAGGAGAUAGUGGAGAGGAGAAAGGCUUUGUAGAAGAGAAGGAAAUCCUGUUUCAUGCUCAUCUGUGGAGUUUUAUUACUGCUCUUCUUGAGAAUCAAACUGGACACCUUUGUGGCUUGUGCCUGCUCAGUAUCUCCCAAAAAGAAAUAAGUCCAAAAACCUUCUCCCCUUUCCUUCCAUCUGUGGCUGGUCAGUUUGCCCCUUUCUGUUUUCUAACCCCAGUAAUCAACUCUUGUGUUGGCUCAGCCAGACCAUUGCAUGCUGUGCACUUGUCAGAGUGCCUCCAGGCUGGAAGCUUUUGUGCCUACUUUAUAUUGAAAUUAAAGUAAAAGACUGAGCCUAAUGAUCCUGUAAAUUCAGCUGAUUUGAAACUUGAGAUACCGAAAUUCUGUUUGUAGGCCAGUCCUAUGGAGAUGGUCAGCCGUAUUACUGCUCUGCACUCGUUUCUGUUGUGGCAGGAAAUCUGAGAUCAGACACAGUCUCCUGGUUCGUAAGGAUGCAAAUAUCUUGUGUUUGACGACUUCUGAUGACAUCUUUCCCAUGCAUGCAGUCAUCACAACCAAACCUCCUGCCAGGAAGAAUAAUUGUCAGUUCUUGGUUUCAAAGAACUGGCUAAGGACCAUGCAGAGGACAGUACGACAGUCUCAGUGGCAGACUGUGAAAUUCACCCUACCAAGGAGUUAACUAAGCCCAGGCAUUCCCGCUCUGCCCAUUUUGAUUAUUGUACAACUCUUCUUUUAGCGGCCUUUUUCCUAACAGAAUUAGGAUUCUGUUGCCGUGUUGCUUGGGUGGCUAGCCAGCGUGUGCUAAGGACAUGGAAACUGUGACUCACUGUGGUGUCAGCUCUUUCUCGGCUGCAGCUGUAAGGAUCUUGGUUUUAACCUCAGUAGAGAACUUCUCUGAGCAGUGGGAAUUCAGCUUUUUACUGGUGUAGCUGGUUUACAGUUAUUGUGUUCUGUGCCUUCUAUGACUUCUUUUCAUUAUUCCUUAAAAUUUGUUCUGUUUCUGCUUUUAAAUGCCAUACUGCUAGUAUUCAGUAUGUGAAUACUGAAUCCUGCCUAGCAGGAUAAGAGGUGCAUUUUUCCUGAAAUGACGUAAACUGAGGUGUCCAGCUGCUCUAGAAAAUAGCUUCCCAGCUAUGUGGUGGUAUCAUCCGACCACUUCGUCCAGGCAGGGAGAGGUGAAAUGCCCUUAUUAGAGCUCACUGAGAACUGGACUGUCUGUCCAUUGGAGAAUCUAGAUGAUUUCAAAAGAAAAAAUGUCCUCAUUUACAGCGAAAUGCCUGAAAUUCUAUUUCAUAGACUAGAAAGGAAAGUGUUAAUUUACAUGAUUUUUUUUGUUGUUGCCAAUCAGAAUAUUUUAAAAUAGGAUCUUUCAGAGAGUUGAAAUAUUUUGUUCUAGUUCAGGUUAAAAUCGGCACAUGUCCCUGCUGCUGUUGUGGCGCCUUCUGGGAUUUGUAGUUUAACAAUCUCAUGCUUCAGUUCUCUCUGAGUAUUGCUCCUUGGCUGAACUGCAUUUCUUAUGCUAACCUAUGAUCAAAAUCCCCAUGAUACACAGUCUUGAUCUGACCACAGAAGAAAUCCCACUGUUUUUUUUGGGAAAUAUAUACCAGCAAUUCAGUAAAAUGCAUUGGAGUAAAAGGGGAACUACUGCCUGAAACUGCAGCUCCCCCAGCUUCAAAAUAGAAAAAACAGUUUGAUUCAACAGUUCAGAGACGUAGGAUUUAAGUUGGCCUACCUGUAAGCUUUUUCUUUUCUGUUUUCCCACGGAUAAAAGAAAAAAAGGAGGGAGGUUUCAUAUAGUGGGAAUUAUUUUAGCUGAAAAAUCCUUGACAAAAUCAUCUUUUUGGAUAUACAACCACUCAUCAACUGUAUUGUAUCUAAAAUACCUUCAGUUUAUAAUUCAGACUGGCUAACAGGUACUUUUUUUUCAGAUAGUCUAGAGCCACGCUAACCUCUUCCGUAUUAUGGAGGAUCUGAAAAUAGCUGGAGGAGGAGGUUACUGUAGCUGAUUUAUUCCUUCCUUCCUUCCUUCUUUCCUUCCUUCCUUCUUUCCUUCCUUCCUUCUUUCCUUCCUUCCUUCUUUCCUUCCUUCCUUCUUUCCUUCCUUCCUUCUUUCCUUCCUUUUUUCCUGCUUCAUUUUCAUGAGCUAGGAAAGAACUUCAAAAAGCAAUAGCUUCUCGAAAUUUCUCCCAUAUACCUUAAAAAAAAAUAGCAAAACAACUCUUUAUAGUCGAGAAAUCCUAUGAUCAUGCAUGAGCAUGUAUAAUAUACAUGCAUGCUAUACAUGCACGAUCAUGUAUAAUAUAGAAAAGAACAAGAAAGCAAUCCAAGGUUGUGCUGAAAAUGGAGGUGAUGAACUGGUUAAUAUAUUGGUUCACCUUCGUGAAUCCCACCCCUGGUAGCACAUACAGCUCGCGCCAUAGAAAUUGCAUGUGCAGGGUGUUCGAGCAUAACGUCUACAUGGCCAAAGGAUCUUGGCAAACCACAUUUUUCAUCAAGCAAGUUAAGAGUCUGUCCUGUGGGAAGGAGGAAUCAGAACUCCCCAUUCAGGUUGGUGUAAAUCUCUUCCUUCUUUUAAGGUAUUAGCUUUGCUGGUGGUUUUAUUCUGUUUUCAGCAGGGCUGCUCUUUAGAUCCAAACACUGGAGUGAAAUGAGAGUCUCAAGGUACCACCGCAUGGUCCGUUGACUGGAGGAGUUUUCAUGGGCUUUUUUCCUGCUGUGGUUUCUCUGCUUGGCCCCGCUCACUGAGCCAACUUUCUGCUACAGAAUCAAGCUGCCUAAGCCAUCCUUUCCGACUGUAAGCUGUGCCCAUCCAGCCAGGAAACAGGCUACAUAGUUGCUGGCAUGUCUCAAACUGAUAUAUCAGGCAUUUCCAAGUUUCCUGUGAAAAGAACUAGGUAGCGGUUCAACUGGGGCUAAAAGAACAGCUUCAAGCACUUCAACUGGACUGCCAAAGACAGCAAAAAGAGGAGGAGGAUGUGCCACACGAACAAAGCAUAUAACGAUUCAAAUUACGGCCCAGCUGCUACAGAGAAUUUUUGCCCCUACCAAGUCCCCUUAUAGCAGCUGAAACCUUUGAAUUUGACCUGGUCAACACAAGGACGAUCUCUAAGGCAUUGGCGGAGCUACGAGGCACAAGCGUAUUCUUAGCUACUUCAUAACAUAGCUCAGUUUAACCAACAGUUCCUAAAGGUUUUACUGAUUCAGCUGAGGCAAAAUCAGCAUGUAGAACAAUGUCAGCGUCAUUUAGAAAGUAAAGUUCAAGGUUAGGUUUCCAAAAGUGGUGGGGAAGUGGGGUCAGGGUGUGUCUCUGUUAAAGCAUUACUGCUCUCAUUGGAGUCACUGGAAGAAAUAGAGAUGGAUUUGAGGAAUCUCUGUUUUCUAAUUGAAGAUCCAUUUGUAUUUUGCUGCAGCUUAAACAAUAAUAAAAUACUUUGGCCUCUGA
Non-coding RNA from Struthio camelus australis, 7128 nucleotides. Lineage: Eukaryota; Metazoa; Chordata; Aves; Struthioniformes; Struthionidae. The record is from RefSeq and is a predicted model, not a curated record.